GGGCCCGUAGCUCAGCUGGUAGAGCGCCUCCGUGGCACGGAGGAGGUCGUCGGUUCGAGACCGAUCGGGUCCACAA
Molecule: transfer RNA, 76 nt
Filed under: bacterium
Lineage: Bacteria
Description: tRNA-Ala
Rfam family: tRNA
About the family: Transfer RNA (tRNA) molecules are approximately 80 nucleotides in length. Their secondary structure includes four short double-helical elements and three loops (D, anti-codon, and T loops).
Source: RNAcentral